GUGCAGCAGUCGCGAAAAUUUUGCAAUGCGCGCAAGCGUGACAAAGUCAUCCCGAGUGCCACCCGCUGAGGGUGGCUUUUGCCAGGUCUAAACCGCCUGGAGAAUAAGGGGAGGGCAAGUCUGGUGUCAGCCGCCGCGGUAAUACCAGCUCCUCGAGUGGUCGGGACGAUUAUUGGGCCUAAAGCAUCCGUAGCCGGUUCUGUAGGUCUCCUGUCAAAUUCAACGGCUCAACCGUUGAGCUGCAGGAGAUACCGCAGGGCUAGGAGGCGGGAGAGGUGGACGGUACUCUAUGGGUAGGGGUAAAAUCUUCUGAUCCAUGGAAGACCACCAGUGGCGAAGGCGGUCCACCAGAACGCGCUCGACGGUGAGGGAUGAAAGCUGGGGGAGCGAACCGGAUUAGAUACCCGGGUAGUCC
RNAcentral lists this ribosomal RNA (415 nucleotides) under uncultured crenarchaeote. RNAcentral describes it as "partial 16S ribosomal RNA". It matches the Rfam family "Archaeal small subunit ribosomal RNA", at positions 330 to 747 of the family's 1478-position model. Lineage: Archaea; Thermoproteati; Thermoproteota. The record is from RNAcentral.